CAGCAGCCACGGUAAUACGAGGGGAGCUAGCGUUAUUCGGAAUUACUGGGCGUAAAGCGCACGUAGGCGGCUUUGUAAGUUAGAGGUGAAAGCCCAGAGCUCAACUCUGGAAUUGCCUUUAAGACUGCAUCGCUUGAAUCCAGGAGAGGUGAGUGGAAUUCCGAGUGUAGAGGUGAAAUUCGUAGAUAUUCGGAAGAACACCAGUGGCGAAGGCGGCUCACUGGACUGGUAUUGACGCUGAGGUGCGAAAGCGUGGGGAGCAAACAGGAUUAGAUACCCCUGUAGUCCCUGUCUCUUAUAC
This 301-nucleotide ribosomal RNA is filed under the name uncultured bacterium. Its description in RNAcentral is "partial 16S ribosomal RNA". It matches the Rfam family "Bacterial small subunit ribosomal RNA", at positions 509 to 807 of the family's 1533-position model. The record is from RNAcentral.